CAGCCGUAAACUAUGCGCGUUAGGUGUACUGGUGACCACGAGUCACCGGGGUGCCGAAGGGAAACCGUGAAACGUGCCGCCUGGGAAGUACGGUCGCAAGGCUGAAACUUAAAGGAAUUGGCCGGGGGGAGCACCACAACGGGUGGAGCCUGCGGUUUAAUUGGACUCAACGCCGGAAAUCUCACCGGAUAGGACAGACAUAUGAUAGUCGGGCUGAAGACUCUACUUGAUGAUCUGAGAGGAGGUGCAUGGCGUCAGUGACU
This 263-nucleotide ribosomal RNA is filed under the name uncultured archaeon. RNAcentral's name for it is "partial 16S ribosomal RNA". It matches the Rfam family "Archaeal small subunit ribosomal RNA", at positions 748 to 1008 of the family's 1478-position model. The record is from RNAcentral.